UUUUAACUUUUAUUGAUAUUUUAUUUAGUUAAGGAAUCUUCGAGUAAUAGUUAAAAAAAAUCUUUCGCAUUCUAAUUCUAUAGCUAAAUCAUGUGUUGUUGCUAUAUUAUAAACUUUCGUGCAUGAGCCAUUUAAAUCCGUUUGCAUUACUUUUUAGUUGUUUCCCCUGGAAAAUUCUCUUCUUGCUAGCCUUCGCCGAGUUAUUCAACAACAUCGCUAUAUUGCUGAUUUUUGCUGUUGUUUUUUUGGUUAAAGCUGCAUGCUUUUGUUGGAUAAUGUUUAAUUUAUCAUUCACGUUUUACAUAUGAUUCUGUUUAAACCAUAUUUAAUCGAUGUUUUGGUGAAUUUCGCGCAUGCUUAACUUGCCUGAUUUCGGACGUAAUUUACUUUCGGAUACAUGCUCCUCUUGUGUUUUUUUUCGAUGUUUUCUUAUGUAUGCAGAUUUAAAAAAACAGCUCAUGCUUAAAUGUGUUAUUGAGCAAGUGACUUCUUUAUACUAUGGCAGGAAUAAAAAAACUGUUAUAAAAUUAUAAAGGAAGUUUAGUUACAUGUAUAAACUCACAGUCACAAGUGUUAACACCUGGCGCCGUGACCUGGAUGCAGAUUCUAAGCAGAUGGGCCAAAAUGGGGGCAGCUAGAGAGACUCGCCUGGAACUGACAAGCCUGGAGGGAGCUGGUUGACUGUUGGCGAGAUGGGACAACAGACGAAGAAUAAACGAACCUACUUGAUUUGAUAAACAUUUUUAUGUUUUUCAGUUUCGUCGGAAGACAUUUCCCACCAACCAUCCUGUCUUGAAAGAAAUAACUUUUGAACCCGAUUAUCUGAUAUUUUCCAGUUUCUCCUCACAACAAUUUGCAUCAAACCUCUUGUCUGCUCCUCAGCUGAAAUCAUCAUCUAGCAGUCACAAUAGUUGAGCGGUUGGAGAGGCAUGCAUUGCGUCCUACUACUGCUCAGACUAUAUUAUGUUUGGCAGACAAAACAUGCUGAUCAAAAAGAAUGUUUACCACAGGGGCCAGUGUUUCCAUUUGAGUGAUUGACAAGAAGAAGAAGAGAUGAGAAAUGUUAUCAUCAUAUUUUAGUCCCUACAUUUAUAGUGUACAGCUCAAUGUAUUGAACCGGUGUUGUAGAAUAUAAUUGGAGAUACAUUUGAACAUUAUAACAUUAUAUAUAAGAUGAUAUUUCAAAAGCAAUAAGAAAUAAAAAGUAUAAAAAGGUCAAAACAGUAAACCGUGUGUUUACAGUGGACAGGUUUAAAGUGGAAGUGACUAGUUAAUUGUUGAUCAUAAGCUGCACUGAUGGAAAAAAUAGUGGGAAAUUACUAUCUAGAAAACUGUUUAACGUACGACAACAGUUGUGGAACUUCAUAAAUGACCGUAUGUAACAGGGCUGGGCAGUUUUCCUUAUAUAGCUAUAGUGAAACCUUUUGAACACUAGUGAAGUCACUGUUUUUUUUCCAAUCUUCAUGCAUUUUGGUCGAAUAUUUGUUCAAAUGAUGGCUCAGUCCAGUUUCGAAAUUUUUAUGUCUAUUCAAAAAACAUAUCCACUAGAGCACGAGGCAAUUGUCUUUAUAUGGCUAUAAUGAAACCUUGUAAAUUCUCUAGAAGUGACAUUUUUAGCCAUAUCUCCAUAAAUUUUGGUCAGAAUAUUUAUUCUAAUGAUAGCUCAGUUGUCGAGUUUGUAACUGGUUCCGGUUUGUAGACUAACAUGGCUGCCAGUGGACAUGACAGUUUUUCUUAAUGUGCUAGAGUAGAACCUUGUUAACACACAAUUGGCCUUUUUUAUGUGCAUUUUUCAUGAAAGAUGAUCAGAGCAUUUGGCCCAAUGUAAUCUCAGCUGACUUUGAAACUGGAUCACAUAACGUCAAAAAGUCGGUCAAAAUGCCAAAUUAAAAAAAGCUUGUAAACACUGGAAGUUGCAUUUAAAAUUGUGUUCCUUUUUUAUGUCCCCCACUAUAGUAGUGGGGGACAUAUUGUUUUUGCCCUGUCUGUUGGUUGGUCUGUUGGUUGGUUGGUUUGCGCCAACUUUAACAUUUGCAAUAACUUUUGCAAUAUUGAUGAUAGGAACUUGAUAUUUUGCAUGCAUAUGUAUCUCAUGGAGCUGCACAUUUUGAGUGGUGAAAGGUCAAGGUCAUCUUUCAAGGUCAAAGGACAAAUAUAUGGGUCAAAAUCGCUCAUUUAAUGUACACUUUUGCAGUAUUUCAAUAUUCAAGAUAGCAACUUGAUAUUUGGCAUGCAUGUGUAUCUCAUUGAGCUGCACAAUUUGAGUGGUGAAAGGUUAAGUUCAUCCUUCAUGGUCAGAUGUCAAAUAUAUGUGUCCAAAAUCGCUCAUUUUAUUAUACUUUUGCAAUAUUGAAGAUAGCAACUUGAUAUUUGGCAUGCAUGUGUAUCUCAUGGAUCUGCACAUUUUGAGUGGUGAAAGGUCAAGGUCAUCCUUCAAGGUCAGAGGUCGAAUAUAUGUGGCCCAAAUCGCUUAUUUUAUGAAUACUUUUUCUAUAUUGAAGAUAGCAACUUGAUAUUUGGCAUAAAUGUGUAUCUCAUUGAGCUGCACAUUUUUAGUGGUGAAAGGUCAAGGUCAUCCUUCAAGGUCAAAUAUAUGGGUCAAAAUUGAUCAUGUAAUGUCACUUCUGCAAUAUUGAAGCUAGCAAUUUUAUAUUUGAAAUGCAUGUGUAUCUCAUGGAGCUGCACAUUUUGAGUGGUGAAGGGUCAAGGUCAUCCUACAAGGUCAAACGUCAUAUAGGGGGACAUUGUGUUUCACAAACACAUCUUGUUUAAAGUUUGUCAAAACAUUUGCUGUAAUGAUAAGCAAAGUCAAGUUUAUAAAUAAUAAUUUGUCUACAAAUUACAUAUUUUUCAUUAAGUUCAUUUAUUAUUCUAAACUACACCCUCUCAGAAUAGUUUAGUUACUUCUGGUCACAGUUGAGCACCUUAGGGCUCUUGUUCUAUAAUUUGAUUGUUUUGGAAAAUUGUCAUUUUGCCAAAAUGUGAGCAAGUCCAAAUUUAAUUAACCCUGCUUUGUAGUAUCUUGUUUUCCUUAUAUGUUAAAAGUGGAAAAUUAUCUAUGAAUCUGACUGCAUAGAUAUUUGGUAUUCAGCAAAGCAUCGUGUAAAUGUAGUAAAACUAAACACAAUUGUGUUAGCAUAAAACUGGCCAUGCCAUGGGGGUCAAAUGGUUAAUACAGACUUGUAGGAAAAUUUUUAUCCGUUAAAUAUAUUUUGUGUACAUAAUGAUUAGCUUUUUCCUUCAACUUAUC
This is a long non-coding RNA of Dreissena polymorpha, 3250 nucleotides long. RefSeq lists it as uncharacterized. The transcript has 6 exons. The record is from RefSeq and is a predicted model, not a curated record. Lineage: Eukaryota; Metazoa; Mollusca; Bivalvia; Myida; Dreissenidae.